CAGUCGCCACGGGAAUACGGAGGGGGCUAGCGUUGUUCGGAAUUACUGGGCGUAAAGCGCACGUAGGCGGCUUGGUAAGUUAGAGGUGAAAGCCCGGAGCUCAACUCCGGAAUUGCCUUUAAGACUGCCGAGCUAGUAGGUGAGAGAGGUAAGUGGAAUUCCGAGUGUAGAGGUGAAAUUCGUAGAUAUUCGGAAGAACACCAGUGGCGAAGGCGGCUUACUGGCUCAUUCUAGACGCUGAGGUACGAAAGCGUGGGGAGCAAACAGGAUUAGAUACCCGAGUAGUCCCUGUCUCUUAUAC
RNAcentral lists this ribosomal RNA (301 nucleotides) under uncultured bacterium. RNAcentral describes it as "partial 16S ribosomal RNA". It matches the Rfam family "Bacterial small subunit ribosomal RNA", at positions 509 to 807 of the family's 1533-position model. The record is from RNAcentral.